RNAcentral lists this ribosomal RNA (382 nucleotides) under Tenacibaculum piscium. RNAcentral's name for it is "bacterial SSU rRNA". It matches the Rfam family "Bacterial small subunit ribosomal RNA", at positions 1 to 381 of the family's 1533-position model. The record is from RNAcentral. Lineage: Bacteria; Pseudomonadati; Bacteroidota; Flavobacteriia; Flavobacteriales; Flavobacteriaceae.
UACAAUGAAGAGUUUGAUCCUGGCUCAGGAUGAACGCUAGCGGCAGGCUUAACACAUGCAAGUCGAGGGGUAACAGGUAGCUUGCUAUGCUGACGACCGGCGAACGGGUGCGUAACGCGUAUAGAAUCUGCCUUGUACAGGAGGAUAGCCUUUAGAAAUGAAGAUUAACACUCCAUAAUGUGUAGAAGAGGCAUCUCUUUUGCAUUAAACAUUUAUGGGUACAAGAUGACUAUGCGUCCUAUUAGCUAGAUGGUAAGGUAACGGCUUACCAUGGCGACGAUAGGUAGGGGGUCUGAGAGGAUUAUCCCCCACACUGGUACUGAGACACGGACCAGACUCCUACGGGAGGCAGCAGUGAGGAAUAUUGGUCAAUGGAGGCAAC